Molecule: unclassified non-coding RNA, 675 nt
Filed under: Zea mays
Lineage: Eukaryota; Viridiplantae; Streptophyta; Magnoliopsida; Poales; Poaceae
Description: misc RNA Zm00001eb232540
Source: RNAcentral
CUGCGCAGCAGCAGAGAGGAGGCAUCGGCAGAGGGCUCACGGCCGGGAGAGGAGCACAGGGGCGCCCUGUGCUGCGGAGAUGAAGGGCGCAGCUUCCGGCAACCCAACGACAUGGAGAACAGGGAGGGCGUGGCUGGAGGAAAGGGGCGAGCUGCUUGUGACCAUGGGGGGAGAAGAAAGGGCGCCGUCGAGGGAGCUUCAACAGUGGAGCGCUCGGCUGCUGGGCUGCUCACCGUGGACAGCAGAGGAAGGCAGAUGCAGUGGAGAAAGGGCGCUCAAAACUGCUGGCCGGAGCUAGGGCUCGGCCAUGGGAAAGAAGGGGGAAGGAGGAAGGGGAGCUGGCUGGUGGAGAUGGGAGAGCUCGGCUCCAAGCAGAUGUGGAGCUCGCCAUUUGGAGUAGUGGCAGGGGGCGUCCAUGGCUGCUGGCCAAGUAGAGGCGUCGGCAUGCUCCCAAGGAGCUUCUGCUCCUGCGCGCACGAAGCAGAGAAGGAGGAAGAUGGUCUGCUGCUGGAGGAAGAAGAAGAGGGGCAGGGGGCACCGCGCCAUUGCUGGCCGAGGGGAGGAAGGGCGCUGCUGCUGGGCGCCAGCCAGAGGUGGAAGAAGGGCUCGGCAGCCAUGGGAGGAAGAGAGUUCCUGCGCGCUGAACAGAGAAAGGAGCUGUGCGUGAGAGAAUGA